GCAUAUGUGGUGUAGUGGUUUGAGCACUGGACUAUGACUCUGGACACCAGGGUUCAAUUCCCUGCUCAGCCA
Non-coding RNA from Phrynosoma platyrhinos (Desert horned lizard), 72 nucleotides. The record is from the annotation of a GenBank genome assembly. NCBI's taxonomy places the organism in Eukaryota, Metazoa, Chordata, Lepidosauria, Squamata, Phrynosomatidae.